RNAcentral lists this ribosomal RNA (255 nucleotides) under uncultured bacterium. Its description in RNAcentral is "partial 16S ribosomal RNA". It matches the Rfam family "Bacterial small subunit ribosomal RNA", at positions 524 to 776 of the family's 1533-position model. The record is from RNAcentral.
UACGAAGGGGGGCUAGCGUUGCUCGGAAUGACUGGGCGUAAAGGGCGCGUAGGCGGCGAUCACAGUCAGAUGUGAAAUUCCUGGGCUUAACCUGGGGGCUGCAUUUGAUACGUGGUUGCUUUGAGUGGGGAAGAGGGUCGUGGAAUUCCCAGUGUAGAGGUGAAAUUCGUAGAUAUUGGGAAGAACACCGGUGGCGAAGGCGGCGACCUGGUCCUUGACUGACGCUGAGGCGCGAAAGCGUGGGGAGCAAACAGG